AGCGAACGCUGGCGGCAGGCUUAACACAUGCAAGUCGAGCGGGCACUUCGGUGUCAGCGGCAGACGGGUGAGUAACACGUGGGAACGUACCCUUUGGUUCGGAAUAACGCUGGGAAACUAGCGCUAAUACCGGAUACGCCCUUUUGGGGAAAGGCUUGCUGCCGAAGGAUCGGCCCGCGUCUGAUUAGCUAGUUGGUGGGGUAAUGGCCUACCAAGGCGACGAUCAGUAGCUGGUCUGAGAGGAUGAACAGCCGCACUGGGACUGAGACACGGCCCAGACUCCUACGGGAGGAAGCAGUGGGGAAUAUUGGACAAUGGGCGCAAGCCUGAGCCAGCAAUGCCGCGUGAGUGAUGAAGGCGUUAGAGUUGUAAAGCUCUUUUGUCCGGGACGAUAAUGACGGUACCGGAAGAAUAAGCCCCGGCUAACUUCGUG
This 433-nucleotide ribosomal RNA is filed under the name uncultured bacterium. RNAcentral's name for it is "partial 16S ribosomal RNA". It matches the Rfam family "Bacterial small subunit ribosomal RNA", at positions 29 to 507 of the family's 1533-position model. The record is from RNAcentral.